UGUACAAAGGUAGCAUAAUCAUUUGUCUCUUAAUUGGAGUCUGGAAUGAAUGGUUGGAUGAAAAAUUUACUUUCUUUAUUUUAUAUAUAGAAUUUAAUAUCUGUAUUAAAAAGUAUAGGUUUUAUUAAAGGACGAGAAGACCCUAUAGAACUUUUAUUUAUUUAUUAAUAAUUAUUUUUUUGAUAAUAGUUUUUAUUUAUUAAUAAAUAAAUUUUGUUGGGGUGACAAAAAAAAUUGGAUAACUUUUUUUAUUUAUUUCACUUUUAUGUGAUAUUUUGAUCCUUUAUUAAAGAUUAUAAGAUCAAGUUACCUUAGGGAUAACAGCGUUAUUAUUUUAGAGAGUUCAUAUUGAUAAAAUAGUUUGCGACCUCGAUGUUGGAUUAAAAUAAGGUUCAGGGGUAGAAGAUUGAAUACUAGGUCUGUUCGACCUUUAAAUUUUUACA
Molecule: ribosomal RNA, 443 nt
Filed under: Reuteroscopus sp. KLM-2013
Lineage: Eukaryota; Metazoa; Arthropoda; Insecta; Hemiptera; Miridae
Description: partial 16S ribosomal RNA
Rfam family: Bacterial large subunit ribosomal RNA (bases 317-443)
Source: RNAcentral